RNAcentral lists this transfer RNA (86 nucleotides) under Candidatus Dojkabacteria bacterium. Its description in RNAcentral is "tRNA-Tyr". It matches the Rfam family "tRNA". Rfam says of the family: Transfer RNA (tRNA) molecules are approximately 80 nucleotides in length. Their secondary structure includes four short double-helical elements and three loops (D, anti-codon, and T loops). The record is from RNAcentral.
GCAGGGGUGGCAGAGUGGUCAAAUGCACUGGACUGUAAAUCCAGCGCCUUCGGGCUACACAGGUUCAAAUCCUGUCCCCUGCACCA